CGAAGCUGAGAAGUGGAGCAACCCCAAAAAAGACCAUCCCAGUUCGGAUUGUACUCUGCAACCCGAGUACAUGAAGCUGGAAUCGCUAGUAAUCGCGCAUCAGCCAUGGCGCGGUGAAUACGUUCCCGGGCCUUGUACACACCGCCCGUCAAGCCAUGGGAGCCGGGGGUGCCUGAAGUUCGUUACCGCAAGGAUCGACCUAGGGCAAAACUGGUGACUGGGGCUAAGUCGUAACAAGGUACC
This 243-nucleotide ribosomal RNA is filed under the name uncultured bacterium. RNAcentral's name for it is "partial 16S ribosomal RNA". It matches the Rfam family "Bacterial small subunit ribosomal RNA", at positions 1250 to 1500 of the family's 1533-position model. The record is from RNAcentral.